RNAcentral lists this long non-coding RNA (734 nucleotides) under Mytilus galloprovincialis (Mediterranean mussel). The record is from RNAcentral. Lineage: Eukaryota; Metazoa; Mollusca; Bivalvia; Mytilida; Mytilidae.
CCAAGGAUUCAAUUUUUGUUUAAAUCAAACUAAGUUUAAUUUUGGACCCUUUGGACCUUAAUGUAGACCAAUUUUAAAACGGGACCAAAAAUUAGGAAUCUACAUACACAGUUAGAUUGGGCAUAUCAAAGAACCCCAAUUAUUCAAUUUUUGAUGAAAUCAAACAAAGUUUAAUUUUGGACCCUUUGGGCCCCUUAUUCCUAAACUGUUGGGACCAAAACUUCCAAAAUCAAUCCCAACCUUCCUUUUAUGGUCAUAAACCUUGUGUUUAAAUUUCAUAGAUUUCUAUUUACUUAUACUAAAGUUAUGGUGCGAAAAACCAAGAAAAAUGCUUAUUUGGGCCCCUUUUUGGCCCCUAAUUCCUAAACUGUUCGGACCUCAACUCCCAAAAUCAAUCCCAACCUUCCUUUUGUGGUCAUAAACCUUGUGUUUAAAAUUUCAUUGAUUUCUAUUUACUUAUACUAAAGUUAUUGUGCGAAAACCAAGAAUAAUGCUUAUUUGGGCCCUUUUUGGCCCCUAAUUCCUAAACUGUUGGAACCAAAACUCCCAAAAUCAAUCCCAACCUUCCUUUUGUGGUCAUAAACCUUGUGUCAAAAUUUCAUAGAUUUCUAUUUACUUAAACUAAAGUUAUAGUGCGAAAACCAAGAAAAUGCUUAUUUGGGCCCUUUUUGGCCCCUAAUUCCUAAAAUGUUGGGACCAAAACUUCCAAAAUCAAUCCCAACCUUCCUUUUGUG